RNAcentral lists this ribosomal RNA (1079 nucleotides) under Candidatus Phytoplasma fraxini. Its description in RNAcentral is "bacterial SSU rRNA". It matches the Rfam family "Bacterial small subunit ribosomal RNA", at positions 243 to 1328 of the family's 1533-position model. The record is from RNAcentral. Lineage: Bacteria; Bacillati; Mycoplasmatota; Mollicutes; Acholeplasmatales; Acholeplasmataceae.
AGUUUGUUGGUGGGGUAAUGGCCUACCAAGACGAUGAUGUGUAGCUGGACUGAGAGGUCGAACAGCCACAUUGGGACUGAGACACGGCCCAAACUCCUACGGGAGGCAGCAGUAGGGAAUUUUCGGCAAUGGAGGAAACUCUGACCGAGCAACGCCGCGUGAACGAUGAAGUAUUUCGGUAUGUAAAGUUCUUUUAUUGAAGAAGAAAAAAUAGUGGAAAAACUAUCUUGACGUUAUUCAAUGAAUAAGCCCCGGCUAACUAUGUGCCAGCAGCCGCGGUAAGACAUAGGGGGCGAGCGUUAUCCGGAAUUAUUGGGCGUAAAGGGUGCGUAGGCGGUUAGGAAAGUCUAUAAUUUAAUUUCAGUGCUUAACGCUGUCUUGUUAUAGAAACUACCUUGACUAGAGUUAGAUAGAGGCAAGCGGAAUUCCAUGUGUAGCGGUAAAAUGUGUAAAUAUAUGGAGGAACACCAGAAGCGUAGGCGGCUUGCUGGGUCUUGACUGACGCUGAGGCACGAAAGCGUGGGUAGCAAACAGGAUUAGAUACCCUGGUAGUCCACGCCGUAAACGAUGAGUACUAAGUGUCGGGAUAAAACUCGGUACUGAAGUUAACACAUUAAGUACUCCGCCUGAGUAGUACGUACGCAAGUAUGAAACUUAAAGGAAUUGACGGGACUCCGCACAAGCGGUGGAUCAUGUUGUUUAAUUCGAAGAUACACGAAAAAUCUUACCAGGUCUUGACAUGCUCUGCAAAGCUAUAGAAAUAUAGUGGAGGUUAUCAGGGACACAGGUGGUGCAUGGUUGUCGUCAGUUCGUGUCGUGAGAUGUUAGGUUAAGUCCUAAAACGAGCGCAACCCUUGUCGUUAGUUACCAGCACGUAAUGGUGGGCACUUUAACGAGACUGCCAAUUAAACAUUGGAGGAAGGUGAGGAUUACGUCAAAUCAUCAUGCCCCUUAUGAUCUGGGCUACAAACGUGAUACAAUGGCUGUUACAAAGAGUAGCUGAAGCGCGAGUUUUUAGCCAAUCUCAAAAAAGCAGUCUCAGUUCGGAUUGAAGUCUGUAACUCGACUUCAUGAAGUUG